Molecule: ribosomal RNA, 509 nt
Filed under: uncultured Desulfobulbus sp.
Lineage: Bacteria; Pseudomonadati; Thermodesulfobacteriota; Desulfobulbia; Desulfobulbales; Desulfobulbaceae
Description: bacterial SSU rRNA
Rfam family: Bacterial small subunit ribosomal RNA
Source: RNAcentral
GCCACGCCCGCUCAAGAACUACGAAAGGUAAUUGACGGGGGCCCGCACAAGCGGUGGAGUAUGUGGUUUAAUUCGAUGCAACGCGAAGAACCUUACCUGGUCUUGACAUCCCGGAGACCCUUAGGAAACUAGGGGGUGCUUCCAUCUGGAAGAAUCUGGAGACAGGUGCUGCAUGGCUGUCGUCAGCUCGUGUCGUGAGAUGUUGGGUUAAGUCCCGCAACGAGCGCAACCCUUGCCUUUAGUUGCCAGCAGUUCGGCUGGGCACUCUAAAGGGACUGCCGGUGUUAAACCGGAGGAAGGUGGGGAUGACGUCAAGUCCUCAUGGCCUUUAUGACCAGGGCUACACACGUACUACAAUGGCCGAUACAAAGGGCAGCGACACUGCGAGGUGAAGCCAAUCCCGUAAAAUCGGUCUCAGUCCGGAUUGGAGUCUGCAACUCGACUCCAUGAAGUUGGAAUCGCUAGUAAUCGUGGAUCAGCAUGCCACGGUGAAUACGUUCCCGGGCCUU